AAUUUUCUUUUUGUUAAAUUCCUCGCAAAACUGUCGAAAAAGGUGUGUGAAAUCGAAGAAUUAUUUACUGCGCAUCGACUACAGAAUUUUUUUAUUUUUUAUUUUUCAUAAAAACCUAUUCUUGAAACAUUUUGCGACAGCUACAACGGCAAUGUGUUUUAAGUGACUAGCAGACGGUUUUAUUUAUUUUGUAAUCACAGGGAAAACUUUGAUAAAGAGCAAUGUUAGAUCGAUGCUUGAGACUGAUCAUCCAAAAGCAGCGGUAUUACUCCACAGCUGUUCCAAGAAUCACCACACAUUAUACCAUAGUUUCCCGUGAAACAGAUCCAAGAUGGCAAGGUAUUUCUAUGGAGAGGGUGAGUGAUGAAACAGAUGUUGUUAUUGUGGGUGGAGGUCCUGCUGGUAUGACAGCAGCCAUCAGGUUAAAACAGUUAGUAAAUGAAAAGGGAAAGGAUGUUAGAGUGUGUUUAGUUGAAAAAGCUUCUGAAAUUGGUGGACAUAUUUUAUCAGGAGCAUGUAUCGAAACUCAAGCACUGGACACUUUGAUUCCAGAUUGGAAAGAAAGAGGGGCACCUAUAAAAACAGCUGUUAAAUCUGAUAAAUUUGCCUACUUAACAGAGAAGAAAAGGAUCCCGAUUCCCAUAUUUAAAGGUUUACCUAUGUAUAAUCAUGGUAACUACAUUGUGAGAUUAGGAAAUGUAGUUCGAUGGCUUGGUCAACAGGCUGAAGAAUUAGGAGUUGAGAUUUAUCCUGGAUAUGCAGCUAGUGAGGUCUUAUUCCAUGAAGAUGGGAGUGUCAAAGGUAUUGCAACAAAUGACGUUGGUAUUUCAAAAGAUGGGUCUCCAAAGGAAUCAUUUGAAAGAGGAAUGGAGCUUCAUGCUAAGUGUACUAUAUUUGCUGAAGGAUGUCAUGGUCAUUUAAGCAAACAAUUGUAUAAGAAAUUUAAUUUAAGAGCCAACUGUGAACCACAAACAUAUGCCAUUGGUUUGAAAGAAAUAUGGGAAGUUGAACCAUCUAAACAUAAGCCUGGAACAGUUGAGCACACUGUUGGAUGGCCAUUGAACUACAAAACAUAUGGAGGAUCAUUUUUAUAUCAUCUUGAUGAAGGUGCUCCUCUUGUUACUGUUGGUUUUGUGAUUGGUUUAGAUUACAAUAAUUCAUACAUCAGCCCUUUUCAAGAAUUUCAGAGGUUUAAAUUACACCCUUCAGUUAGACCUCUGUUUGAAGGAGGAACUCGUAUUGCAUAUGGAGCAAGAGCUCUAAAUGAAGGAGGAUUCCAGAGCAUUCCUAAACUUACAUUUCCGGGUGGAUGUCUAAUUGGCUGCAGUCCUGGUUUUAUGAAUGUGCCUAAAAUAAAAGGGACACAUAAUGCUAUGAAGAGUGCCAUAAUAGCUGCAGAAACUGUUUAUGACCUCAUCACUUCAGAUAACGUAGAAUCAGCAACAACUGCUCCUGAACCUGUAGAAUAUGAAAGGAAACUUAAGGAGAGUGAUGUUUGGAAAGAACUGAAAUCUGUUCGGAAUAUUCGACCCUCUUUUCAUUCUCCUCUGGGUGUUUAUGGGACAAUGCUGUAUACUGGCAUAUUCUAUUAUUUAGGAAGAGGGAAAGAACCUUGGACAUUAUCACAUCACGUCACACAGUAAAAGGAGUGUUGCAAGAAACAAUUCAUCAAUAUACAGAAUAUUUAAAAUUUGGUUUCAUACUUGCUAUCCACGAUGGUGAAUGAUCAUCUUUUUGUCUUUUAAUGGUGAAUGGUCUUAGAAUGUUUGACGAAUGAAUUAGUGAAAUGAAGCUGACUUAAGACACAUUUGAAGGCAAAACAUAAUAAUGCUCAUGUAAAUUACUUUUAAAAAAAGAAUUUUAUAAAAGAGUAACAUUAAAGUUUCUUUUCAUUACUCACACUGCAGUUGUCAAUCAUCCUUAGGCUAGAUAUGAAAUUUCCGUACUCAUAAUCAAUCUAUAUAUAAAUCAUACUGUAGAGAUAAUUUAAUCAAACCAUCAAUAUCAAUAUUUCUUAAAACAAUUAUGGAAAAAGAUGACAAAGACAUGAAAGCUUUGCCACUCAGUAACAAUACUGUUAGUGGAAUAGAUGAAAUACAACUAGUUGAAAAGCUGGAAACAUGAAAAUUCUCAAUGUAAAUGGAUCAACUCUGAGAGACAGUGAAGCAUUACUGAUAACUACAUAAAAUGUAUUGCUAGGGAUUAUUUUUCUGAAGAAAUGUUAUUCUGUAAAUCAUUAGAGGGCACCUCUACCUCCAAAGAUAUAUAUAAUAAAUUGCUUAGAUAUCAAUUAUAUACCAAUGAAAAAUGUAACAUGUGCUGCAGAUGAUCCUUCUAGUAGUAUGACAAGCAAGAAGAAUGGCUGCUUAAAACUGACGAAAGAUGCGAAUCCAGAAAUGAUUCUUGUGCAAUGCAUUAUCACAGUGAGAGCUUGGUAGUUACAAAAAUUUUUCCUGUUCUUAAUGAAGUUCUAAAAUCAUACUAAAAUCAGUUAUAAAGUAUAUCAGUACUAUUAAAGCUAGUGCAAGAUGGCAGUAUCUCUUCAGGCUGUCUAACAUUUAGAGACCAUGUGAGACUUUUAGUUCAGAAUUCUCUCUUGAAAAGGAACUUCUUGAAGAGAUUUAUGGAAUUACCUGAAAUGAAGCAUUUUUUAAUAAUCAAUGGUGCUGACUAUGCUAAACUAAAGCCUGCAUCCGAAUGUAAACCUAUAGUAUAUCCAAAACCUGAUGGUGUUAUAACUUUCGAUUUAUUGUCAUCUGUAGCACUGACAGGAACAAACCAUGUAGAUCAGCCA
This 2794-nucleotide unclassified non-coding RNA is filed under the name Stegodyphus dumicola. RNAcentral describes it as "electron transfer flavoprotein-ubiquinone oxidoreductase, mitochondrial-like, transcript variant X3". The record is from RNAcentral. Lineage: Eukaryota; Metazoa; Arthropoda; Arachnida; Araneae; Eresidae.